AAAGGCGCCUAUUCGGAACACUUGUCUUUCUUAUCCAACAUAUGUCAGAAUAUAAAGUUUGUAGGUAUAAGGAAAAAAAUAUUUUUUCGACACACUCGCACAUUAAAACGAGAAACACAUGAAAAAUAAAAAAUAAACAGGAGAAUGUUUCAUGCUCGAAAUAUUGUAGUUACUGAAAGAUUUAUACGUUACCUCAUAAGUCUCUCCUAUUUUUAUUUAAUUGUACAUUUAAUCAUCUAACUGUAUGUAACACGCUCGUUGGAAAGCAAUGUGGUGCGUCUUCUACAGAGUCGCACCGACAGAUGUCAACCGGUGACAAUACAGGAUUUUUAUUACUCUGGUUUGGUUGGAGUGUGUAUGACGAUAUGAGAGAGAGAGGAGUGAGUGUUGAGAUGACGGCUGAUAGGAGAGAAUGAAAGAGAAGAAAAAUUAACUAUGCCGACCCCACCUAGUGGGAUAAGGUGAAGAAAAAGAAGAAGAGGUUUAAAAUCCUGACCAGAAUCAAAAGGAUAAUAAAACAUAUACUUAACUUUUCCUACAUUUUCGCUGGUAGCCUAAGGGGCUAUUUCAGCCACGUCCGGACGGGUAGGUGAGCUCACGGCCUUAACCUGAGAGUAUUUGCUAACACUAACCGGUGUUUGAGGGGCCUACAAGCACCCAGACAAUUUUUACCUAACUUAUUUAGCGUGUUUUGUGGGUUUUCCAACUGUAUUUAGGUAUCUACUGGUGGUAGGACCUCUUGUGCUGUGAGUCCGCGCAGUUAGGUACCACCACCCUGCCUAUUUCUGCCGUGAAGUAGUAAUCCGUUUCGGUUUGAAGGUCGGGCAGCCGUUGUAACUAUACUUGAGACGUUAGAACUUAUAUCUCAAGGUGGGUGGCGCAUUUACGUUGUAGAUGUCUAUGGGCUCCAGUAACCACUUAACACCAGGUGAACCGUGAGCUCGUCCACCCAUCUAAGCAAUAAAAAAAAAACUAUCAAAAGGCUGUAGGCAAAACUUGAAAUUUGUUGUAAUUAUUCGCUUUUAUCCUACGUUCAUAGAAAGUACUAUAUUACAAAAAUCUUCCUAAGAGGACUAACAAUAGCUAUACAAUGUCUCAUUAGUAUCGGACGAAUGAUUCAUAGCGCUCAAGAAACAACGCGGAGAGAAGGUCAGCCCAAAGGCUAAUUUUACGUGCCAAAAAAAUUUAGACCACUGCAUUUCUAGACUUUUUUUGGCAGUAAGAUCAGGCUUUAAAAUGGCCUCUCUUCACCCACACUCCGUAAUAAUACAGAUGGAUUUGCUUCGGUGGUAGGCAUUGGGAUGAUAAAAACAAGAUGACGAGACCGUCUCAAACAAUUCCUUAAAGCAUUCACCAUAGAACACACGGUGCCAAAUACAUUGAGAAUCGAAGCCUUUUAGUAGACCAGCGAGGUAUGGAAUAAUACGUAAAAACGAAUACACGAUAAUAUGACGGCCUAUCAAGAAUUAGAAUGGACAUGCUGCAAAACGGAAAUCAAAAUCGAGAUGUCUAUGGGAUAUUAUAGCCUUCGAUUUUCCCCAGCUUCUAAUAUUUAAAUAUAAGAAAAAGAUAAGUAGUACUACUUAAAAGCGAUCGUGUACCUGUAUCUCCCGAAAUAUCCAUAUAAAUACUACUCUGUUUAGAAAGUACCGGAAAAAGAGCAAUAAUACACAAAAUGUUAGCUGUAGUGUAGAUACACUUAUGUACGCCAACAAAGAAAGUUUGAGGGGUGGGAUGCCCUUCAAACCGAAUCGAAUUACUGCUUUUAUGCCGUGCAUAAAUACGCAGGGUGAUGGUACCUAGCCAUGCGGACUUACAACACGUCCUACCACCAAUAAUGACGCAAAUUAUAAUUUCGCGGACUUGAUUUUUAUUACACGACGAUAUUCCUUUAUCGUGGAAGUCAAUCGUGAACAUUUGUGAAGUGCGUAUUUCAUUAGAAAAAUGGGUACCUGCCUGUGGGAUUCGAACACCACACGUUGCAUCGCUAGAUACGAAUGCAUCGGACGUCUUAUGGUUUAGGUGUUGUUCCACGUUGUUCAUCCAUCAACGUAACCAAAAAUCAAUUAAUCAAAGAUCAAUAAAAUUUCUACUCCCACGAUUCUAAAUAAAGAAAUCUCAAUGCUUGACCAAACAAUAUAAAUGACUAUGUUGCCAGCUCAUUUAUUCAUUUUUCACAUUAUAAUGAGUCUGACGUCAUAAGUCACUCAUGUUUUGAAACCCAUCGAUAGGCACGUCAGUCAUAAAUCUUCGUCAGAACUCAAGAUACUACAAGCACAUUUUAUUGUUGUUGAUAUCCUCAUAGAAUGUCCCGUUUACAAUUACAAUCAUUUGCUGCUUCCUGCAUCGCUACUACGCCACAUGUUAGAUGCUAGUUCAAUAGCGUGUUUGACAUAGCCUCUUUAAUUCUUAGAUAUUUGAACAGCGACUAAAUCAUCUAUUUUGAAUAGAUAAUUCUCAUUGUAUUCCAUUUAGGAAAGUAAAUAUUAGUUUAUUUAAAUAAAAAACGGCCCUGGCAACUGAGCCAAUUAGCAACAUACAACAAAUAGGAUUGGUUACUGAUAAACAAAUCAAAUAAAUAUGCAAUUUCGAAAAGGGCACAUCUCUGAAAAUUUAAAAUAUUAGCUUUUGAGAUAUAUUUUAGUGUUAAUUAGCAAUUGAAAAUUACUGGAAUUAUUAUAAAAUGGGUGUAGGUAAGCCUCAAAACUACAUGUAUAUGAAAAAACGUAGUUGACAAAAUAUGCGACAUGUGCCCUUGUCGAAAUUGCAUAUUCAAAUAUAAAUUUCAUUCUACCUUGAUGAAAUCAUAAUUGCAAUGCAAUAAGAAUGGCUAUUAUAUCCGUCGAAUCAGAAAUUAAGAUGCUUUCUGACAGAAAUAUACAGGAUGAAGGUACCGACUUGAGCUAAUAGGUUUCACGACCACCCGAAAUUAGGAGUAGGCUUUUUCGAGAGAGUUACGUAAAAAAAUAAUGAUAAAUAUAAGCCGUCUUGGCAUAUAUUAUAAGAAGACAGUUAAGUACUAUCAUCCUGAAUAAUUCUGUUUUCGGUAACCAUUUAAAAUCAGGGCGGUGAGUACCAUUUUCCAAGGAAAAAAGAAAUAACAAGGAUGUCAUUAUUAGACUUACCUGAGUUAGUUAGAAGAAGGACAGUGUUAUACAGAUUAGAAUAAGUCCCUAAUGAUACAAAUAUUUAAAUUCUCGAGUUAUCGUGUGAUAACGUUAUUAUCGUAUAUAUAUACGUAGCAUUGUGGGAGUCAUUCGUGAACUCAGGUACGUAAUUCCUUCGAAAACCUGCUCCAGGGUCGAAUCACGGCGACCUUACAUCACUCUACCGGUCGCCUUAUCUAUGAAUUAACGAAAAAUUCCAUUGGAUACAGUGUCGACCGCAAAUUGUGAAAUAAACACAAUAGGAAUGUUUGGAGUAUGCUCUUCAAUGGCAUAGGGCAUACGUCAUAGAUACAUAGGCUAUUCAAGAUUUUGUGCAAAAACUUCAGAUAUCUGGAUUCAUUGUAACUUCGACCGUCACCAUUUGAUUAUGUUCAUUUAUAAAAUUUGAUGUUUAUGACCUAUAUGAUACCUAUACAAAUUACUAGUUUUAAUUUCAACGCAAUGUUGCUUUUGAAGAUUGUUAUAUUAAAUGAUUCCCCUGAUUCUAGAAGCUUCAUGAGCCAAUGCCUCGGUAAGCGUAAUUAUUAUAUGUUUAAUUGAAUACGGCGCUUGUAUAUAGGUAUAUACUGUAGUUGUAUUCUUUUUAUUUUUCCUACCUAAGCUGAUAGCCUUGAGAGGCUAUUUCAGCUUCUCCUUGACGAGUAGGUGAGCUCAAAUCGAGAGUGUUGUUAACACUGGCCUUAGCAAGAGCAGUGGUUCACAGAAUCUACCACCAGAUCGGAAACGUGACCCACUGAGAAGAUUCGGCAAGAAACUCAAUGGGCUGUGUCUAUGGGUUAGUUUACUCGUCGAGCCCAUCGUCGCAAGCGACGGGUUCGGCGAGGACGGUAACUGGGGCUUGCGUUACAAAUGAUUUAAAAAAGCGUAAGAACGUUAAGUGAUGUGGUAUAAAAACGUGGCCUGUGGGAUUAUUCUGUUGGGAACUCCAUACAAAGACGAGAAUACAUAAGUCAGUGCAAUCAUUCUUGGAUGUCUGUUAUGUGCCGCACAGCCGGCAUUCUUGAUUGUCAAUCUAAUGAAGUUUAAAAGUUCAAAAGAAAAUUAUCUCUACAAGUUUCCAAUGUGUGGUCAAACUGUUUUUAGUCGUUUAGUGGAGGGCCGAGAACUUUCUAGAAGCCACCCAAGCAUUCGAGCAAUCACUAUAAAACUUGACCUCCCAAAUAAUUUGACUUACGUAACGCGAACGAAAACACGAAAUACAUAGUCAACUUGUAAGGCGUCUUUCGUUUACUAGGAUUCCGUACAAAUGCUACAAGCGGUGACCGCGGUUCAUCAAACCUGACUCAUUCCUCAUUAAUCAGUGAAGACCUUUGAUGAAGCUUAAGUAACAUUCGUCGGAAAGUAGAUUUCACGGGCUGACGGCUCUCUGAUAUCAGCUUACUAAUAACCUUAAUAAUGUUAUGAAAUACAUACAUUAGGAAUCUCGGAGACUGAUCGAAUUUAAAGAACUAAACAUACCAUGACUUUAAUGAGCAACAUUUUUAAUAUAGAACCCACAUAUAUCUUCAACCAGUUACAUUACACACCUGUUUCACCUAUUUGUUAGAAAAUGAUUCGAAGACCUCUGUUGAUGGUACUUUACCAGAGAACCUUACCUGAAGCCAACAGCAACUAUGUAGAAGCGUGAAAGCAUAAUUAAAAUAAGGAAACAUAUAAACUAUUAUUGUAUAUUAAUAAAAAAAACCACCCACCCACCUAUCAAAGAGAGCACUGACCUGGAAAGUGUCUGGCGAAAGGAAGAGAGGCCGCCCCAGAGCAACUUGGCGUCGCUCGGUAGAGCAGGAGCUAGGUGUCUUGAGCAUGACGUGGGAGGAGCUAGAACAGACUGCCCAAGACCGAUAUAAAUGGAAAAAUUUAAAUUGAUUCGAGCCCUACACCCCAGCACAGGAUAAUAACAGGAAAGAAUGAUGAUGAUAAAAAAAAACAAAAGUAAAUAUAUUUGUCUCGAUAUACGUUUCUCUAUGGUAUUUUUUAUAGAUAUCGUUUUACGACUUUUAAACGAAAACAUUUUUCCCUCCAUAAAAUAUUUAUUCGCAUUAAAAAGUGAAAUUGAUCAAUAGUUGCGAAUUAGGGAUUAAACUAGAUGUCCUUAGUUUCUGAACUCUGAGUUUUAAUUUAGACUUAACACCAGGUGAGCUGUUAGCUUUUACUCCCAUAUAAGCAAUAAAAAAACUAAACGUUGUUUGAAAGAUGAAGAUAAAACAUGUCAGUGGAUAAAAAAAAACAAGAUGGUUUCGAAACAAGAAGGUAAACUUGUAUACGGCUCCCAAAGCAACGCGGAAUGUUAAUCGUAACUACAAAUGUUAAAAGUUUGAAUAACAUUAUUUGAUUAAGUAACUUUUUUAGUUAAACGUAUUAAAUUUAGUUUUGAAGGACUUACACUUUAAGUUAAAAGUCUUAGCUAUUUAAGCGGAUUAAUUCGGCAAAAAAUAACACAAAAUAAAAUAUUGAAUUGUCAUCGGUCCUUGAUAAGUAUGCCAAAUUUCGAGUUAAUCCGACGUUUUGAGGGGGUCAAAAUCAUGUUCAAAGAUUCCGUUACAUACUAACAUACGUAUGAAGCUAAGAAAAGCGUAUUUUUUUUACAUUUUGAGUUGUUUACAGUAACUACCCAUGGAUGACUGUUUUUUUUUUUUUUUUUUUUAUUUAUUUCCCGAGUAGUCAGAUAUCGCUCAUGGACAUCAGCAAUGAUAGAGGCAGAGCCAAGCCACUGCCUACUUAACAAUUAAUUAUUGGUGCUAUAGUGCGAAAACUGUAAAGAAUAACAAUGAAUAUUUAAAAUAACAUUUAGACAUCAGAUUUAUAUUUUUUAAAUCAUUUAAGCAUGGUUUAUUCGGGAAAAGUUAAAGAUAUUGAAGCAGCGCGUGUUUCUAUUGUGAUACUAGUUUUGAGCAGGUAAAAAAAGCUCCUGGGCUAAUGAAAAAGUUUAUUACUUUACUCGCAGGUAGAUAGGGCAACACGUAAGCGAUUAAUUCUUCAUAAGCUCAAUUAUCAUUCAAUAUUUACGUUGGCAGAAAAUAAAAUUAUUAAAAGCACGCUUCAAAAAUUUGCCUUUUCUCAAAGCUGUGUAAUAUAUUAAUUUAGAUUAAAUUACCUCUAUUUUCAUACGACUGACCGACUUGUCACGGCUUUAAGCACAAGACUAAGUAAGAAUAUUAUCUAGGUGUUAUGAUAUGUCUAUGCAAUUAUGCUUUACAUUAACUAAUAUCAACAAAGGAGGAGGUAAUUCUGCGUUUUUAGUUUAUUCUACACACGGUAUGAGGUUGGAGUAUAAGCCAUCAGUUUCGUAAGAAUUGAGACGAUGCAACAAUUGACCUAAAUUAAGUCGCGGUACUUUGGACUGUAGACUGAUUAGUGUAGAGUGGUUUUUUAUGCCUGUAUUUAUUCAAAUACAAAAAAAAUAUACAUACACAAAUUCACAGGUAAGUUAUUUAUUUAAUUAACAAAUUCUUUCUCCCAGCAGACCUGCGCCAUAAUUUAUAAACACAAUGGAAUUAAAGUUUCGUCAUCACUGCGAUGUUCUUUGGGAAACGUUUAUCGGAUUGUUCAAUGUAAUUAUUGUAAUUAUAAAAGUUCGGUUAAAGAUAUCUAGAAAAUAACAAACAAUAUUUAGGAGGCAAUAGAUAAUGACAAAGAAAAUGUACUAGAUUAUGGAUAAGAUACAAGCAAUUGCGUGUUAACAUAACAACCGAUUAGGAAUUUAAUCGGUGCAUAUUUUAUUUGUAUUUCGUUCGAUCGUUAUUAUUCUAGGAUUGUUAUCGGGAUAAGACUGUGCUAAUUAAAUUAUAAUCCUUUAUUGGAAGUGUGUACGUUAUAGCCUUGUCCAAAGUUUAUCCGUGAUUUGCGGGGCUUGAUCAGUCAAGGAGCAAGGCCGCGGCGAGGCGACGCGGUCCGGGAGUCAGGCUGGCGGCAGUCGACACAGCGCGGUCGGCUCACCACCAUGCCCGACGAAGAGCCCCCUUUGCCGCCUCCUUCACCCGUCCCGCCGCGCUUUGGGCCAUCGCGCCUACGCCGCACGUUGCACUCGCUUCGUUCACCGUUCCGCCCCGGUUCGCCCUUCCACAUCGGCUCUAUCAAACGCACAGGCUCCAGCAAGUCCGUCGCCUCAGACGGUGAGAUCACGCGCGACGAACGCACGAUGCGUAAACGCAAUAAGAAACAACGCGAAGCGGCCGCCGAGUCCUCUCGUAGCACUGGGAGCUCGCCCGGCGACGACAAACAGAAAAAGGAAGCCGGAGGUAGUCUUCUCAAACGCAUGGGUAGUAUUGGUAAAAAACGCAACGAAACUCCCGCAGUAUCAGCUUCUCAACCAGAAACGUCACAGUCCGUCGAGAGCGCUCCAACUCCCUCUAACGAAUUAGCGCGACCGACCCCUGAACCAGUGAGCCCCAUCGCUGUCGAACAUGCCGUCGCUACGAGACCUUUUACGAAAGCUGCUUGGAAACGCAACAGUGUACCCGAAAUGGAAAAACCCGUGGAAGAACCGAGUCCGGAAAACGCGCUACGGAGACGAGUAGCGUUUGUUAGUCAGGCUUCCGUUGGCGGUUCGGAAGAUCGCGAUGAUGACAGGGAGAGGGGAGGGACGGAAGUGGGGUCGUUGGAAGAGGCGGUGGCGCUAGCACGCGUGAAGCUGGCCGUGGCCACACCGCCCUCGUCGUCACAGUCGCGCGACAACGACACUGAAGAGGAGGGGCACUCGGACACGAUGCCUGCCUACGGAGACCUGAUCGAGCCGGAGAACAAAGCCGGGAACGAUGCUACGACGGUAAGUGGAUGCGUUGUAUGUAGCGCAACGUGCGCGUGGCCGGAUCGCCGCAUCGCUCGGCACGUCAGUGGACGAAGGUUCUCCGUGCGAUGCGCGCGCGCCAUGACCUUCGAGGAGGCAGUAGAUGAUUGCUACCUAACGGUGUGCGAGUGCUGUGGCUUCAGCGCCGAGACGACAGUUCUGUUCCCAGUACGUUUUAUUUCACGCUAGUUUACAGCGGACGUGACGCUGCCGCGCGAUGUCUUUCGUGAGUACGACUCGUUUGUCUGCUCGUGUGCGCUUCGCUUUUUUUUUUAAUUGUAUAAUUAUUAUAAAUGUUUUUAAUUUCGAGCUUUCUUGUGUGGUGUAUCUGUGGUGUUUGUCAAUAUCGAGUUAUGAAUUGGUUCUUAUUCGUUAUUGUUGGAAUUUUAAUUUGACCAUAACUUAAAAAAAAUCUAUUUCCGCCUUCAUGAAUUAUUAAAUAACACUAAAGCUAACACGAAAUACGAAUAACGUAAGUCGAUCUAGUACCUUCUUAAAGUAUAUGCAGUUCAAUAUUACAAAUAGAAAACUCGUUUACGUUAUAUGAUACUGCGUAAUAUUAUGAAUAGUAAUAUUUUGAACACAAACAAAGAAAUGUAUAAACGACACUAGGAUAAUUCAUAAAAAUCGAAUAAGCUUUGCUAUAACUAUAUAGCAAGACUAUAUUUAUUCGAGAAUGAUAUAUGACUUUAUUGAUCCUAAAGCAUUAUAGACUAAAUAUGUAUUAAAAUUUUAUUGUACAGUUUUCUCUUCAAAUAAACGCAAAAAUCUAUUUGUCCCCUUUUAAUAGGUGUAUGUGAGAACAUAUUAUUAUUUAAUUCUCAUAAUUCUUGGGGCCCAUGUUUAAGCCGAGGGCAAAUAACAUAAUUAAAAUAACAGGCAACAUUUUAAAUCAUUAUUUAUUUAUUAGAUCAUGAUGUUUUUUUUUAAGAAAUGACGUCUUAAAAAUAUAGGUAACAGUGUUCAUAAUAAUAUCAUUAAUUGCCAAAAAAUCGAAUCUAUACCAUUUGAUUCUGUGUAUUUAUUAGCAUACAUUAAUUAUGUAUAUCAAUCUACAUACCGGUGAAUCUCGUUUUCCAUAACAACAAUUAACAUUCAACAAUUCGGUUGCCGAUUAGAAUCUAACCGAUGUUAACUUGUGGUUUUAGUUGUCGUUUCUAGAAUGUUUCAAAGAUAAUAUAUUCAAAUUCAAAGGUUUAUUAUCGAUUUUAAUCAGAACUAGUGGUCCCGCAGUAGUCGAAUAAUAAUUAAUUGAAAUUUUAAGUUUGAACAUUAUUAUGGUUCUACUGUCAAAGACUGUUAAACUUCUAUAAUAUUUUCUUCUUUAUAUUUUGGCUCCGGCACGGUUUGUGCAUUAGCCAGAGUCAAGUAAGAUUUUUAGAACUCGCCGUUUUAAUUAUUUACAGUUUUGUAUUUAAAAAAAACGAAGGAAACCGAAAUUAAUCAAUUGAGAUGAUAUUAAAUGAAGUAAGAUGAGAUGAUAUGAGAUGAAAUAUAAUAUCAGUAAAAUGCUUCGAUCAACAAUAGUAACAUUGUUGAUGGAAGGUAAAAUGGUAGUUAUUUAUUGAGUCUUUUUCAGAUGACUUUUUGAAGGAUCCCGAGAAGCUACGCCCAGCGACUUUGUUUCAUUUUCCCACAAUUGUGCACUUUCAUAGAUGUUAAAUAGAUAAUGAACCACCAUUAUUACACAUUUAAACCCGAAGAAACACUAAAUAGACAAAAUAAAACAAUUCACACAACUUUGUUCUUCGCGUUCCAGACAAAAAGUCCAAUAUUACAAUCACAGAUUUCGCCAAGACUACACACUAUAGACAGAUAUAAAGUCAAACAAUAUUAAUUUAUGCGAUUUGUAAGGCUUAAAUGUGUAAUAACGGUGGUUUAUUAACUGUUUAACAUCUGUCAGAGUGCACUAAUGUGGAAAAAUAAAACAAAACCGCUGGACGUAACUUCUCGGGAUCCUCCAAAAAGUUCACUGAAAAAGUCUCCGUAUAUAGGAUAAUAGGAGUAAUGUCCUCUAAUAGGAGUAAGGACCUCUUGUGAGUCCGCACGGGUAGGGACCACCACCCUGUCUAUUCCUGCCGUGAAGCAGUAAUGCGUCUCGGUUUGAAGGAUGGGGCAGCCGUUGUAACUACACUGAGACCUUAGAACUGAUAUCUCAAGGUUAGUUUUUGUUUUUUCUGUUGCUAAGAUGGGUGGACGAGAUCACAGCCCACCUGGUGCUAAGUGGUUACUGAAGCCCAUAGACAUCUACAACUUAAAUGCGCCACCGACCUUGAGAUAUAAGUUCUAAGGACUUAGUAUAGUUACAACGGCUGCCCCACCCUUCAAGCCAAAACGCAUUACUGCCUCAAGGCAGAAAUAGGCGGGGUAAUGGUACCUACCCGUGCGGACUCACAUGAGGUCCUACCACCAGUAACUACCUACUUCGCAGCAGGACUAAGCAGGGUGGUGGCAGUUAUCCUUGCUGGCUCACAAGAUGCCUUACCACUACUGGUGUGAGACAUGCAAUAAAAAAAUUUACCUAUAAAAAAUCAGAACUUUGUUUUAUAAUUAUAUGUGUGCGGUAUAUCAGAGGCCCACUACAAAAUAUCAGAUUGUUAAAACGAUUAGCGAAUAUAUAUUGUUUUCGUCAGCUUUGGUCAGCGAAUAUACAUUCUUUUCGCUUAUCCAAAAGUACUGACGGGGUGGUAAAUUAUAAUCGCUUUGGUUUCGGCAACAGUUUCCUCACAAACUUCGUUCCUUUUUUUGGAUUUAGUACCAGAUUGACGGCAUGCGAUAAUUUGCGUCGCAUACUUUUAUUUUAAAAUAUUCAUAUCGAUAUUUUUAAAAUAUGUUGGUAUUUAAUGGGAUUGUAAAAAAUUUAAAAAUACUAAUGCCUUCCCUCCCCACUCCUCAGUUCCCGUAACCUAUAUGUGUAUUUCUUAUUUUGGCGUCAGUAUAUAUUGUUUGACAAAAUAGGCUUAAGUAUUAUAUGUCCAACAUCCUGCCAUCUUAUGUUAAUCACUUUUAUGUUUGCCUACCUAUUGAUAGUAGCCUCGUUAACCCGACACAGCCCACUGAGUUUCUCGCCGAGUCUUCUCAGUAGGUCGCGAUUGCGAUUCGUUGGUAGAUCCUGUGAAGCACUGCUCUUGCUAGGGCUAGUGUUAGUAAGUUCCGUCAGAUUGAGCCCGUCAGCUCACCUACCAGUCCGGACGUAACUGGGAUAGCCUCUUAGGCUACCAGCGAAUAAAAAAAGUAUCCUCGAUGGCUUAUGGUAGCUUCAUCGAACGUGUAAGACAGCUUACGGGGCUCAGCCAGGAGACUUUGCUAACACCUUCUUUUUACAUAUAAAAUAUCAUUGGCUAACACUUUAAACAGUUGAUAACGUUUAUCCGAAACGACAUCUAAUACGGAAGGUUGACGGAAGGUAUUAACACUAUGUUUUUACCGGUGGUAGGACCUCUUGUGAGUCCGCACGCGUAGGUACCACCACCCCGCCUAUUUCUGCCUUGAAGCAGUAAUGCCUUUCGGUUUGAAGGGUUGGACAGGCGUUGUAACUAUACUGAGACCUUAGAACUUAUAUCUCAAGGUGGGUGGCGCAUUUACGUCGUAGAUGUCUAUGGGCUCCAGUAACCGCUUAACACCAGGUGGGCUGUGAGCUCGUCUAUCCACCUAAGCAAUAAAACAAGAAAAAAUAAUUUUAGUGAGAACAAAAAUACAGUAACCCUAUUUUACAUUUGCAACACAAAAUUCGAAAGAAUUUUAUUUUAUUUUCGUAUUAUUUAACGUUCAUUUUUGCAUACAAUUAUUGCACAAUACUUACUAAUUUGAUUCGUAAUGUAAGUACUUAUCUUAAUAAGUUACUUUUAACGAUCCAUUUGUAAAUCACUCGUUAAUAAACUUGUAUCAUUAAUAUUAAAAAUCAAUUAAGCAUUUCAAAAUAGUAGGUAAACUAGAACAAAAUUAUAAGAAAAUUUUCCGACCAAGUGUUUUUAUUAUCUUAUUUGAUUAUGACGUUAUCUCGGUGCAGUAAGGUAGAUUUUGCGAGCGCUCUUCAUUUCCGUUCCGGUUCGAUAGCAUUGAAAUUAAAUUAGUGAUGUAUAGAAAUCAAAAUUAUCGAUAACGCUGUCAUUUAUUAUUUAAAAUUUUGAACUAGUAUUGCAGUUUCUUGCAUACAAAACUGAAAAAGAUAUUUACAAAUAAUCUUGUGUUGGUCUGAGACUGGCUAAUUUAUUAAAACUAGAAUCAAAAUUUAUCUUCUUGUAUUUAGUAAAGAUUAUAAAUAAUACAAUCUGUUAAUGCAAUAUCAAUGAUUUCAAAAUAAUUAUUAUGCAACAUACAAGGUUGACUUUCUAUCUAAAAAUGACUGUUAUCUUAAGUCAAGACGAUCAUCACUUUAACAGAUCAAGAUUUAAGCCUGUAGCAAUAACACGAAUUUCCAAAAUAAGGACUUGCAUCAAAUGCACUUAAAAUUUAUAUGGGGAAAAAAUCUUCAAGCCUUCACAGAAAUUACUUUGAUAGGCACAAUCAGAAGACUAUAGCAAUAUUGAAUUCUUUCAGUCACAAUAUUCUAGCAAUUAUCUGUGAAUUCACGACACGCGGUUUUGGUGCGUAUUAUUCACUUUGACCGGAAACUUACGGCCUAAAUAAUUGUAAUGUAAAAUUGUUAAAAAUGCGGUAUCGCUAACCUAAGUAGUAAAAUCUUUGUAAGUGUAUUAUUGAAGUGUAUUGUCCCCACAUCUAUCUAUAUAAAUAAAAAUGAAUUGCUGUUCGUUAGUCUCGCUAAAAAUCGAGAACGGCUGGACCGAUUUGGCUAAUUUUGGUCUUGAAUUAUUUCUUGGAAGUCCCAGAGAAGGUUUAAAAGGUAGAUAAAUAUGAAAAUGCCCGGAAUUAAAUAAAAAUAACAAUUUUAUUUUUCCUUUGAUGUGUCCCCUUCGGACGGAUUCCUUUUGUUUGUUUUAAGUUUAUUUGAAACAAAAGUUUAGGUCUUUCGUUUAUCGAUUGAGGCACUACGAAGUCUGCCGGGUUAGCUAGUUCAGAAUAAAUAUCAAUGUGUUAUUGACCCAAUUGCUUUGUAAAUUAAACGAGCUGGUUGUUUGAAAUCCGUGAUUAUCGUCACUCAAGCGAUUUAUUGUAGUGACCAAAGUAGUUUGUAUACCAACAUUCUUGUGUCUAGAUGAAGAAAGUACAUGCCAUAAGUCGCGUUAUUCGCCCUCGGGGCUAUUGGCGAUGCGUGGCUGGAACCCGACACCCAGGCUACGCUUACCGCAGGCUCGCGGUCGUUGUGCAAUGCCACUUAAAGUUGAUUCUAUACUGGUUUACGGAAAGAUUCUGUUGCUAUAUUCCGUUUUCAAGUCAUUUUCGGGCCAUUGAACGAGCUACACAAGUCGUCUUUUCGCAUUAAAAGUAUUUAAAAGUGUACAAUUUCCAAAAAUAUUCGAAAUUGUGUUAAUACGCGUAAACAUUUGGUAUCACCAGUAUUUUUCUCAUAAAUACUGUCAAAAGAGCGUAGUUUAGUUUUUGUUUUUUUUUUUGUUUUUAGUUUACCUAUAUUUUGACUAUUAACAAAAUUAAUACACAAUUUUUUAAAAACAACUUACUUUAAAAGACCGAUAUUGUAACAACUAAAAAUAUAAAUGUUGCAAAGAUGAUUAAUAUUAAAAAUAUCAUAUUAUGUUAAACCUUUAAAACACUCUCCCGGAAAAUUUAGUAAGUUUUGAGAUUAUACAGUUUUAAUGCGAGAAGACGAAGUGUUGAACUUACAAAAAAAACGUAUAUAGGAAUUGUGCACAAAUAAUCUAGAAGCCGUAACCUUUCCCAUGAUAUUGCUGACCCCAAUGAUACCUCUGGGCCAGUAGCUGACUGAAAUAAUCAGAGUUUUUGUAGAUUUGACAUGAAUCAUUUUAUUAAGCCCGCUGCGUUUCUCGCCGGAUCUUCUCAGUGGGGCGCGUUUCCGAUCCGGUGGUAGAUUUUGCGAAGCACGGCUCUUGCUAGGGUUCGCGUUAGCAACGUCGUCAGGUUUGAGCUCCAUGAGCUCACCUACUAUUAGGUUACGCUGAAAUAGCCUCUCAAGGCUAUCAGCUUAGGUAGGAAAAAAAUAAAACUUUAUUAACACCCUUUUUUAUUGCUCCACUUCUAUCUUAGUAUACAUUUAAAGGGAUUUUUCAAAUCAAUUUCAAAGCUUUAAGGCGGUCUAUUGAUGUACUUAAAAUUUUGAAUUCGUAUCCGAUGAAGUAAUUUGAUCAGGGUCAACAGAAUUAGAACGUCUAGCAGUUUUUUAAAUUAAAAAAAAAAAAGAUUUUCAUUGAUUUCUUUCAUUUUAUCUGUAACCACGCAAACUGUAGUAUUAAUGAACUGAAAUCAUUAAAAUGACAAUAAUCAAUAUAAGAAAUUUAAUAUAAAUAAAUAAUGAAAAAAACUAGUUAAGUUGAUUCGAGAAAGCCGCAUAAAAUACAAAAUUUUAUUUAAUUUUAUUUCUAAUGCAGUUUGUGGCAUUCAAAGGUUUCGCGAUAUAGUUGUGUGGCCUUGGGUUUUCUUAUAUUAUGUCAUUUAUUGACAUUAAAAAUAUUUAUCAACAAGCACCAUUCGUUCACGCCAUAAAUACGUCAUUACGGAUCUUCUAGAUCCAUUAACGGUGCUUUUAGGUACCUCAAGCACCGGUCACCGUCCUUGCCGAACCCGUCGUUUGCGACGAAGAGCUCGACGAGUAAAUUAACCCAUAGACAUAGCCCACUGAGUUUCUUGCCGGAUCUUCUCAGUGGGUCGCGUUUUCGAUCCGGUGGUAGAUUUUGCGAAGCACUGCUCUUGCUAGGGCCAGUGUUAGCAACACUCCGGCUUGAGCCCCGUGAGCUUCACCUACACGUCAAAGAGAAGCUGAAAUAGCCUCUCAAGGCUAUCAGCAUAGGUGGGAAAAAAAAUCGUUCUCUUAGCAUUGAAGUGUGGACGCAACCUUAAUCGUAUUUUGUCCACAUAUGAAAUAGAACGAAGUAAACCUAAUGAGCGGGUCAGAUUCAGAGUUAUGUUGAUUUCUAUUGUUGUUUUUUUAACAAUAUUGAAAUGGUAAAAAGAUUACGUAUAUGUCGACGCACCACUAAUUAUAUGGAAAAAUUAAUUAAUCAAUCAAGAUUAAUUCCUAAUUUAACAUGCGGCGUAAUUAUUGAUUGUAAUUAUCACACGUGUAGUAAAUAUAUUUCAGACUGAUUGUUAAUUUAAGCAAAAUGUAAUGUUAUGGUUUGCUGUCACUUGGGCAGCAAACGAUAACGUUGCAUUUACCAUUCGUCUUCAGAGGAAUGUUUAAUCAUUUGCUAAAUUCAUUUCUUGAUUUUUAAGCGACGUCUACUUGUUUAACACGAUGUUUGGUUAAGAUUAAUGUUGUAAGGAACUCUGCCAGAUUUUGUAAUACGCGGAAACGAUACCACGUGAUUACGUUUGUAAGGAUAGAUUCAACUUUAGAUUUAGUUAGUGACCUAAAUUAGUUGUUUAAAUUAAUUUGUGAUUUAACUAUCAAGUUUGGAAAAUUUAGAGUGAGUUUGCGUUUUAAUAAUUUGUGAAUUUGAAGUAAUUUCCGUCUUGACAAGAGGGAGCCACCGAACUAUCAAGUUUGGAAAAUGUAGUGAGUUUGCGUUUUAAUAAUUUGUGAAUUUGAAGUAAUUUCCGACUUGACAAGAGGGAGCCACCGUUUUUGUUUUCGGGGUGGCGGCUUGUAAUCAAGACGGAAAGACCUUCUUUCUGUGCUGCGCCUCGGCUGCGACCAGACGCUCUGUGAGUACAUACUGUUGCAUUAUUUUAAGGUUAUUUUUAAGUGUGUAUAUAAGUGCUAGGCGAAGUGUUGUAAUUAAAUAGUGUUAAAUUAUAAUUUGGUGUUUCGUUUGCGAUGAGUGAGCCUUGUGAUGGAGUUGGUGGCGUCAGUUUAUCUGACGUCACCUUUUCCAAAAAUUCUCCGGAGGUCGGUGCGCCGUCAUCAGAAGUGGGAUCACCUCCCACUUCUGCUCGCCCUUCUGGCUCGGUUAACAAAAAUAUGAACACUUCUGUUGAUGGGGUGCCGGCUGAUUUUUUCACUCAGAUGUUGCAAAUGAUGAAACACGUGUCGGAUCGUAUGACGUCGCAAUCAGAUAUUUCAAAAGUGAGAAUAAAUGACGUGUUUUUGCCGUCAUACGAUCCAGACGCUAAUGUUGGGGUUAGAGAAUGGUGUCAACAUGUGACCAUAGCUAUGGAAACUUACAACCUGAGCGAUUAUGAAGUCCGGAUGAAGGCUGGUAGUUUGCUUAAGGGUCGCGCAAGGUUGUGGGUUGACAAUUGGCUGGUGUCCACCACCACGUGGCAAGAAUUGCGUGAUGUUUUAAUUUCGACUUUUGAACCGGAAAACCGAUAUUCACGCGAUGUUGUGCGUUUUAGAGAACAUACUUACGAUAAUUCUAAAGACAUCGCUCAGUUCUUAUCACAAGCUUGGGUUUUAUGGAGACGUAUUACUAAAGAUAAGUUGUCGAAUGAUGACGCGGUUGAGGCUGUUAUCGGUUGCAUUGGGGAUGAGCGCCUGAGAAUCGAAUUGUUAAAUGCGCGAGCUACAUCUGUCCCAGAACUUAUUUCAGUGGCCUCAUCUAUAAAAAGUGUUAAACGUCCUCAUCCCAAUGCAUCGAUACCGCAUCAGAGUGUCGCAAAGCGCCCACGUUUUGAUAAGACACCGGGCUUUUGCCAAAUCUGUAAAAGGUCGGGUCACGAUACGCGUGAUUGCCGAUACCGCGACAAACCUGAAGGCCCUCAGCCGCGACAACAGGAUGGUAAAACUACUCCUCCAGGUGUUGGUAGACCGACAUGUACGUUUUGUUCAAGGUUGGGUCAUACUUAUCAAACGUGUUACAAGCGAGAACGUGCAGUUGUUUCUAAUGUCAAUUGUGUGGGGACGUCAAAAUUAAAUGCGAUGCCAGUUGUUGUAGGAGGUUUCAAAAUUAAUGCAAUUUUUGAUAGUGGAGCCGAAUGUUCAGUCAUUCGUGAAUCUGUAGCUGCAAAGUUGCCGGGAAAACGCGUUGAUAGGGUUAGCUAUUUGAAAGCUCUCGGUCAAUUUACGGUUGUCUCGCUUUCAACAUUAACAACAGUUUGCAUAAUCGACAACUUGCGCGUAGAACUAGAGUUUCACGUCGUUUCCGAUAUUGAAGUGAGUUCUGAUAUUUUGAUAGGCAUUAAUUUGAUAGAAAAUACGAACCUAAGCGUUGUUGUAAAUUCACGAGGUGCAAUGCUGGUUCAUCAACCGAUCAUUUACCACAUGCGAUCUCAAAGCCCAAAAUUUGGCAAAUUAGAUUGUGACUUAACCAAUGACAAUCAGAUUAGCGAGUUAAAAAUAUUGCUGAACAAGUUCGAACACUUGUUUAUUCAUGGCUACCCGCAUACGCGAGUUAAUACGGGUGAGCUAGAGAUUCGAUUAAAGGACGAAAGUAAGACAGUGGAGCGUAGGCCCUAUCGGCUUAGUCCAGUUGAACGGGAAAAAGUUCGCGAUAUCGUUAACGAAUUGCUUGAGCAUAAAAUAAUUCGGGAAAGUAAAUCUCCUUUUGCAAGCCCAAUAAUUAUAGUUAAAAAGAAAAACGGCAAAGAUCGUAUGUGUGUAGACUACCGAGAGUUAAAUAGGAAUACCGUCAGGGACCAUUAUCCCUUACCGAUAAUCUCAGACCAAAUAGACCAACUGGCCGGGGGUAUUUAUUUCACCACAAUUGACAUGGCAGCUGGGUUUCAUCAGAUACCUAUUUCGGAGGGAUCAAUUGAAAAGACUGCUUUUGUAACUCCCGAUGGUUUAUAUGAAUACCUAACUAUGCCAUUUGGACUUUGCAACGCGGUGUCAGUCUACCAGCGCUGCAUUAAUAGGGCUCUCGCUCAUCUCACGAGCUCACCAGACCAAGUGUGCCAGGUCUAUGUCGAUGAUGUGCUCUCAAAGUGUAAAGAUUUUGAUCAGGGCUUAUCCCAUAUUGAACGCAUAUUGAUUGCUCUACAAGAAGCUGGCUUUUCUAUUAACGUUGAUAAAACCGCCUUCUUUAAACGCUCCAUCGAGUACUUGGGCAAUAUAAUUGCCGACGGGCAGGUCAGCCCUAGCCCAAGAAAGGUGGAGGCUUUAACGAAGGCACCAAUCCCGAAAACUGUCAAACAAGUUAGACAAUUCAAUGGCCUGGCUGGAUAUUUCAGACGUUUCAUUCCCAACUUCUCGCGAGUUAUGGCGCCUUUAUAUGAACUCACUAAGAACGAUACGACAUGGGAAUGGAACGAAAGGCAUGACGAAGCUAGGGAUUAUAUUGUCAAACAUCUGUCUACUGCGCCUACCCUUACGCUAUUCCAGGAAGACGCACCCAUCGAACUCUACACGGACGCCAGCAGCAUCGGCUACGGGGCAGUGUUAGUGCAGACAUUCGCGGGUCGCCAACAUCCAGUCGCGUACAUGAGCCAGCGCACCACCGACGCCGAGAGCCGCUACCACUCUUACGAACUUGAAACGUUGGCGGUCGUAAGAGCAAUUAAGCAUUUUCGGCAUUACCUCUACGGCCGAAAAUUCAAGGUAAUAACCGACUGUAAUGCUCUCAAGGCCUCCAAAAACAAAAAGGACUUGCUUCCGCGUAUCCAUCGGUGGUGGGCGUUUUUGCAAAACUACGAAUUCGAGGUGGAGUAUAGGAAAGGUGAGCGAUUACAGCACGCAGACUUUUUCAGUAGAAACCCUUGCAGCGAGAUGUCAGUUAACGUUAUGACUCGAGAUAUGGAAUGGCUGCAGAUUGAGCAGCACCGCGAUGACGUGCUACGCCCAAUGAUGGAGAGUAUAACAUCUGGCGAUUCCAUCGAAGGCUAUGUCAUGGAAGAUGGCAUACUUAAGAAAAUGCUCACAGAUCCUAUACUCGGCAUACAUAAACCAAUUGUAGUGCCUAAGUCUUUCCAGUGGAGCUUGAUAAACUCCUUCCACGUGACACUGCAGCACCCAGGAUGGGAGAAAACUCUGCAGAAGCUACGAGAAACGUACUGGUUUGACAAGAUGAACUCGGCUGUUAGACGUUUUGUAGACCAUUGUGUUAUAUGUAGAACCUCGAAAGGACCAUCUGGUUCUAUACAAGCGCAGCUCCAUCCGAUCCAGAAACCCACGGCAGCGUUCCAGGUCAUUCAUAUGGACAUCACAGGAAAAUUGGGCACGAGAAACUCCGAAGGACAAUAUGAGUACGUAAUUGUUGCUAUUGACGCAUUCACGAAAUACAUAUUACUGAGCUAUUCCAAUGACAAGAGCCCGAGCAGUACACUCGCGGCACUCAAGCGUGUCAUUCACCUGUUUGGCACCCCGGUACAAGUGGUGGUUGAUGGCGGUCGGGAGUUUCUCGGCGAGUUCAAAGUCUACACUGACCGCAUAGGGAUUGACGUGCAUUCAACUGCGCCAGGAACAAGCCGAGCAAACGGACAGGUCGAAAGGGUCAUGGGCACAUUGAAAAAUGCCCUUACCAUGAUCAAAAACUACAGUACUCAAGACUGGCAGACGGCGCUGGAAGCUUUACAGCUCGCUUUCAACUGCACGCCACAUCGAGUGACAGGAGUAGCUCCGCUCACUCUCCUGACCCGCCGACAACAUUGCAUACCGCCAGAGUUACUAAGGUUGGUGAAUAUUGAGAACGAAUGCAUAGAUUUUGAUCUGCUCGAGCAACACGUACGACAGAAAAUGAUUGAUGCGGCGCAAUACAACAAGCAACGCUUCGACAGAGGCAAGGCGAAAUUGCGCCCAUUUCAACGAGGCGACUACGUACUCGUCAAGAACAAUACUCGUAACCAGACAUCCCUCGACCUCAAAUACAGUGAGCCGUAUGAAGUAUGCAGAAUCCUGGACAACGAUCGGUACAUCAUCAAGCGAGUGACCGGCAGAGGGCGCCCUCGUAAAGUCGCCCACGACCAGUUGCGCCGAGCGCCCCAGCCUGGCGAGCAGGACACCGUGUCGACGGACAGUGUAGAGGACCCCGAGCGACAACCGGCGAGCGUGCCGGCCGACGAGACUGAAACAGAUGCCACAUCUCGGCCCCAGCCCCUGCCGUCUACCUCGCGAGCUGCCCAGGCCUUGGAUGCUUAAUGGUUAGUUUUAUAUUUCUUACUGCUAUCCUGAUAGUUACUUAAAAUGUUUACCAAUUUAUGAGAAAGCCAGUAUCAACAUCAGCAGUAAGAUCCAGCCGUUGGCCUAUGUCUUUGUUGACGGGUCGACCAUUAUUAAAAGUAAGCCUGUACAUUACCCCUAUCCUAUUUUCCUUCAUUGAACCAAUUUCAGAGCCCCUGUGGACCACGGUCAAAAUAAAUAAGGCCUAGGCCACAGCAUCGUCCUUCCUACAUCCUUUAGAGCCCCUGUGGACCACGGCGUACGAGACCGCUCAGCGCCACAGCAUCAUUCCCAUGUGAGCUCUUCAUUACGCUAUUUAUUUUCAGAACCUCUGUGGACCACGGUCAUAAAUAUAAGGCCCAGGCCACAGCAUCGACCUUCCUAAUCCUUUAGAGCCCCUGUGGACCACGGCGUAUGAGACCGCUCAGCACCACAGCAUCAAAACCCUCAUAAGCCUAAACAAAAGGCAAGUAAAAAAAAAAAAAAAAAAGACAUUACUUUUCAGAGCCUCUGGGGACCACGGUCAAAAUGAUUGACUAUGACUGUUGCUAACUUUGACCGACUUAGGCCUAGGCCCCAGCAUCGUCCUAGUUCCCACUUCCAUUAGAGCCCCUGUGGACCACGGCGUUCGAGACCGCUCAGCGCCACAGCAUCAAUCCUGUCUACGAGAAAUCAAAUCGUGCAAUUAUGCGUGGAGCAUUUGUAUCGAUAUAUCUACGAGUACAUAAAUCGUGCGAGUAAGCGUGGAGCAUUACAAGCACUUCAAUAUCAUCGCUCACCUUCCAUGUACAGCAUUCCUAUACUUAUAACAAUUUUGUAUAAAGCCUCUCAAUCUUUAUUCUGUGCUUUUCAUCUUACUAUUUAACAUACUUGUGUGUAUGAACUUUAUGGUACAAAAGCUAGCUGAUAACUAGGAUUGUUGAAAUCGGUUAUCAAAGAAAAAUAGUACGACAAUUUUAUUAUCAUUACAGUAGUGACGUUGUUUCAUUUUGAAAAGCGCCAGCCACAAACAAGUUGUCAGCUAGUGUACCGGUGGACGGAUACCUAGCUCAAAGAAAUUACUUUUCAUUUUCAGACCCGCGACUGGUGCAGAGCACGCACACUGUCUCGCAGAAUGGCCGUGUCGACGCACCACUAAUUAUAUGGAAAAAUUAAUUAAUCAAUCAAGAUUAAUUCCUAAUUUAACAUGCGGCGUAAUUAUUGAUUGUAAUUAUCACACGUGUAGUAAAUAUAUUUCAGACUGAUUGUUAAUUUAAGCAAAAUGUAAUGUUAUGGUUUGCUGUCACUUGGGCAGCAAACGAUAACGUUGCAUUUACCAUUCGUCUUCAGAGGAAUGUUUAAUCAUUUGCUAAAUUCAUUUCUUGAUUUUUAAGCGACGUCUACUUGUUUAACACGAUGUUUGGUUAAGAUUAAUGUUGUAAGGAACUCUGCCAGAUUUUGUAAUACGCGGAAACGAUACCACGUGAUUACGUUUGUAAGGAUAGAUUCAACUUUAGAUUUAGUUAGUGACCUAAAUUAGUUGUUUAAAUUAAUUUGUGAUUUAACUAUCAAGUUUGGAAAAUUUAGAGUGAGUUUGCGUUUUAAUAAUUUGUGAAUUUGAAGUAAUUUCCGUCUUGACAAGAGGGAGCCACCGAACUAUCAAGUUUGGAAAAUGUAGUGAGUUUGCGUUUUAAUAAUUUGUGAAUUUGAAGUAAUUUCCGACUUGACAAGAGGGAGCCACCGUUUUUGUUUUCGGGGUGGCGGCUUGUAAUCAAGACGGAAAGACCUUCUUUCUGUGCUGCGCCUCGGCUGCGACCAGACGCUCUUCACACGCAUCGGCUAGUGCUGAACGCCGGGAGCAUUUAUAUAAGAUCCUCGUCAUCGGCGAAUUGGGUACAGGGAAGACUUCCAUAAUCAAACGAUAUGUCCACCAGUUCUUCAGUCAACACUAUAGAGCAACCAUCGGCGUGGAUUUCGCACUGAAAGUACUGAAUUGGGACUCAAAUACCAUAAUAAGAUUGCAACUAUGGGAUAUAGCAGGUAUGUGAAAUUAUCAUAUUUGUGAAAUACACAUGUCUUUUUCGAAAUCAUUUAUUAUUUGUAGUAUAGAAGAAAAUAUUUGUGUACAUACGUACAUCAGAUUUUAUUAUAUUUAAAUAUGAUCAUAUACCGUUCAGAAUAGGCUCUACACACUUCUAAUAUUCUGUAUAUAAAAACCUUUGAUAAAUGAGAACUCCUUUCCAAAAUUCCGUCACGUUAUAAAUUUAAAGAAACAUAAAUGGCAUUUAUCAAAUGUAAGUCAAAAGUUAAAGAUUUAUAACACGCUUUUUUUUCUAUUACGUAUCAAUGGCGCACGCAGAGGACGAGGCUUCAAAAUGUUUUCAAUAUCUUUUUGCUUUGGCGAUGAUUGUUUAUACAUUCGCGUUUUUCACUUUGCUUAUUUUGAUUCAUAAUUAAAUAAGGUAAAUGAAUUUUCUCUCUACUCAUACAUCAUCUUACACACCGAAAUCAUCAUUUUAUAAAAUAAAUACAAGAGUACCAAUUACGCUUUAUAGCUGCCAAUCUGUUCCACUAAAGUACGUUAUAACUCUGAAUAUCGCAGGUACUUCGAUUAUAGUUCACUUUGAUAUAUAGCUAAGUAUUCGCCUGGCGCUACGAUCUGUUGAAGGACCGUCGGUCUACCGAGCAAAUAUCAUCCGCUCGGUGGUAGAUCUUUCCUUUGUCGUUUAAGCCCUCCCAAAAGCAUUUAAUGACUUCAUAUUUCUGCAUGGUUGUGGCGAUUUCUGUACAUUUUCUGUGUUCCAGUUAAUUAUUUUUCCCGAUCCACAACGGUGCUUUUAGGUACCUCAAACACCGGUCAUCGUUCUCGUCGAACCCAUCGCUUGCGACGAAGGGCUCGACGAGUAAAUUAACCCUCAGACACAGCCCACUGAGUUUCUCGCCGGAUCUUCUCAGUGGGUCGCGUUUCCGUUCCGGUGGUAGAUUCUGCGAAGCACGGCUCUUGCUAGGGUUCGUGUUAGCAACGUCAUCAGGUUUGAGCCCCGUGAGCUCACCUAGUAGUUAAGGCAGCGCUGAUAUAUCCUCUCAAGGCUAUCAGCUUAGGUAGGAAAAAAAAAAUCUGUUGAAAUGAAAAUAGCUGUGGUCCAAUCUCGCAUUUCAUUCAAAAAUCAAACAUACAGGAAUUAUAAUCACGUCUUUAAUGAAACGAAAAUCAACUAGAGCUUAAGAGUGCGCAUCAAAAUACUUGCCAUGUUCACUUACAUUUCGUCACUAUUUGCAUAGUGGUUCGGAAUAUUUGAUGAUUUUUUUUUGAAUUCAGAUUAUUGAUGCUUUAUCAUUUAAUUAUUUUAAUGAAUGCAAUAUUUUACGUACAAGUACUGUAUUUAUAUUAUUAUACAAUCUGAUCGUUGGUGACAUUUAUCAAACACAUAUACAUAUUAUGUAUUCAAGCACAACAAAAUUUUAAUAAAACAGCAAUAUAACUACGUAUUUUAAAACUGAUAAUAAAAAAAAGUAUCCAGUUUUAACUAGACAAACUGAUACAUUAACCUUUAAAAAUAACCUUUAAAAAUAGGUAGAUCAGUAUGUUUUGCUUCACAAUAAUGCAUUUUGAUCAAGAAAUAAAAAUCUCUAAGGUAUUUUGUUUCUUAUAAGACUUACUAGCCGUACUCGCCCGCUUCGCCGCGCAUUUAAAAUUAACAUUAUUAUUUAUUGUCAUUAUUAUUAGGGAGUCUAAUAUUCGUAUAAAUAUUAGCCUAUCCAUUAAGUACAUGUGUUUUCUAUAUGGAUACCAGGUUUCAAGUCAAUCGGAUGCAUGGUUCAGUAGUUAUAACGGAACAUCCGUAAAAACCACUGUAGAUUUAUAUAUUAGUAUAGAUUUUUCGUAUUCGAUACAGAAUCGAUAGCCACAGGAAAGAGAUUAGUUUCUGUUAAUCCAAACUGCUACCGGUCACUACAAUCGCGAUUACUAGGACCUGUUGUAAACUAGUGUGCGGCAUAAUUAGGGACUGCAGUAUGAGUACGGUGGGAGGGUAUUAUCGAUCACAGUUGAAACCAUAGGUAUAAAGAAUCGAGCAUUUUAAUCUUAUAUUUAUAUUUAUUUUUUUAUAAUUAUUCAUUCUAUUAAUUUUUUUGAUUUGAUUUGAUUUGAUUUGAUAUAGUGACAUUUACAAAUUGCUAUCCGAUCGCAACGGAUUAACGCAAAGUCGCCGUCGUCCGAAGCAUGUCUUGUCGGACCCCCCGGAUUCACUCUCGAUGCUUUUAGGCCUCUCAAGUACCGGUCAACGUCCUCGUCCACCGUCCACGAGCGAACUAAUCCCUAGACACAGCUCACUGAGUUUCUCGUCGGAUCUUCUCAGUGGGUCGCUAUUCCGAUCCGAAGGUAGAUUCUGCGAAGCACUACUCCUGCUAAGGCUAGUGUUAGCAAAUUCUCUCAGGUUGAGCCCGUGAGCUCACCUACCCGUCCGGGCGUAGCUAGAAUAACCCUUUAGGCUACCAGCGAAUAGGUAGGCAGAAAAAAAUACAGUUUGUCACUUGAAUGAUUGAUUAUUUUGUCAAUCAUUCAAGAGCCGUGAACAUCGCUGGGAACGAUGCAUUAGUAUUUUAUCGUCAUUCACAUUCACCAUCAUUCAUUAUUAAAACAUCAUCAACAAUCAGGUACCACCACCCUGCCUAUUUCUGCCGUGAAGCAGUAAUGCGUUUCGGUUUGAAGGGUGGGGCAGUCGUUGUAACUAUACUUGAGAUCUUAUAACUUUUAUCUCAAGGUGGGUGGCGCAUUUACGUUGUAGAUGUCUAUGGGCUCCAGUAACCACUUAGCAUCAGGGGGGCUGUGAGCUCGUCCACCCAUCUAAGCAAUAAAAAAAAUUUAUCACCGAAACAUUCAUUAAAAAUUUGUUUAACAACUUGACCGUUAUCAGCUUAAAUAGUUUGUGGGUCUGAAUUAGAACAUUUAGCUGAAUACUCUAUUUUAACGUGUCCAAUAAUUCAAAAAUGCCUUUAUGAUUAUUGAUUUUCCAGGACAAGAGCGCUUCGGGAACAUGACGCGUGUUUAUUACAAGGAAGCAGUGGGCGCGUUUAUAGUGUUCGACGUUUCCAGAGUGGCCACGUUCGACG
RNA transcript from Bombyx mori (domestic silkworm), 25111 nucleotides. It is a transcript of the gene named Rab-related protein, with no coding region annotated. Lineage: Eukaryota; Metazoa; Arthropoda; Insecta; Lepidoptera; Bombycidae. The transcript has 2 exons. The record is from RefSeq and is marked provisional.